Molecule: ribosomal RNA, 800 nt
Filed under: Virgibacillus sp. CO40
Lineage: Bacteria; Bacillati; Bacillota; Bacilli; Caryophanales; Bacillaceae
Description: bacterial SSU rRNA
Rfam family: Bacterial small subunit ribosomal RNA
Source: RNAcentral
AAGUCUGACGGAGCAACGCCGCGUGAGUGAUGAAGGUUUUCGGAUCGUAAAACUCUGUUGUUAGGGAAGAACAAGUUGGGUAGUAACUGACCCAACCUUGACGGUACCUAACCAGAAAGCCACGGCUAACUACGUGCCAGCAGCCGCGGUAAUACGUAGGUGGCAAGCGUUGUCCGGAAUUAUUGGGCGUAAAGCGCUCGCAGGCGGUCCUUUAAGUCUGAUGUGAAAUCUCGCGGCUCAACCGCGAACGGUCAUUGGAAACUGGAGGACUUGAGUACAGAAGAGGAGAGUGGAAUUCCACGUGUAGCGGUGAAAUGCGUAGAGAUGUGGAGGAACACCAGUGGCGAAGGCGACUCUCUGGUCUGUAACUGACGCUGAGGAGCGAAAGCGUGGGGAGCGAACAGGAUUAGAUACCCUGGUAGUCCACGCCGUAAACGAUGAGUGCUAGGUGUUAGGGGGUUUCCGCCCCUUAGUGCUGAAGUUAACGCAUUAAGCACUCCGCCUGGGGAGUACGGCCGCAAGGCUGAAACUCAAAAGAAUUGACGGGGGCCCGCACAAGCGGUGGAGCAUGUGGUUUAAUUCGAAGCAACGCGAAGAACCUUACCAGGUCUUGACAUCCUCUGCUAUUCCUAGAGAUAGGAAGUUCCCUUCGGGGACAGAGUGACAGGUGGUGCAUGGUUGUCGUCAGCUCGUGUCGUGAGAUGUUGGGUUAAGUCCCGCAACGAGCGCAACCCUUGAUCUUAGUUGCCAGCAUUUAGUUGGGCACUCUAAGGUGACUGCCGGUGACAAACCGGAGGAAG